CCUCCGUUGCUUGGCAGGGACCAGGCCUACUGUCCUGUUCUCCGUGAGGUACCGAGGCAGAAGGAGAGGGCAGAAGGAGGGUCUUCUGUGCUGGCGAUUUCUUGUUCUCCGGUUCUAUCCUCAAACCCCAGGAUGCGA
Perognathus longimembris pacificus (Pacific pocket mouse) is the source of this 138-nucleotide small nucleolar RNA. RefSeq annotates it as small nucleolar RNA SNORA57. The transcript has a single exon. The record is from RefSeq and is a predicted model, not a curated record. Lineage: Eukaryota; Metazoa; Chordata; Mammalia; Rodentia; Heteromyidae.